RNAcentral lists this transfer RNA (84 nucleotides) under Myxococcaceae bacterium. RNAcentral describes it as "tRNA-Leu". It matches the Rfam family "tRNA". From Rfam's summary of the family: Transfer RNA (tRNA) molecules are approximately 80 nucleotides in length. The record is from RNAcentral. Lineage: Bacteria; Pseudomonadati; Myxococcota; Myxococcia; Myxococcales; Myxococcaceae.
GCCCAGGUGGUGGAAUUGGUAGACACGCUAGAUUCAGGGUCUAGUGGUGGUGACACCGUGGAGGUUCGAGUCCUCUCCUGGGCA